Molecule: long non-coding RNA, 747 nt
Organism: Folsomia candida
Lineage: Eukaryota; Metazoa; Arthropoda; Collembola; Entomobryomorpha; Isotomidae
Exons: 4
Source: RefSeq, a predicted model, not a curated record
GCCCCACCCAAUCUACAGAUUCAGUUAGUCAAGAUGCUUAAAUAGGACUUUACUUUUCACAAAGUCGGAAUUUUUUACUCAUAAAUUCCUCGCAAGACAUUCAAAAUUCUUCACAAAUUUUGCAAUAAAGUUAUAACUUUGAAAUCUCCUACACUAAAGCUUGAUCCCAGGAUAUCCGUGGAAAUUUGACAUGAGAUAACCUUGUGAUACAUCAUUUUCAUAGGAGAAUUGCCAUUAUUUGGUACCAGGGUAACGCUUUCCGGGCUUACGCGGUAGCCGCAAAUGAAGUUCGUCAAUUCAUCCCCAAAGGAAUGGUCGAUCAAGGAAAUCACGACUGAGUUAUUUUGGCAUCGUUCCUAUGCAGCCAAGAUGGAAGAUUGCAGACCUACGUGGGGAAUAUCACCUCCAGAAGACAGCUAAAUAACAUUGAAAGUAUCGUUUAUGGAUAGAAAUUUAGAACCUUCCUUCUGAACCAAUUUUGCAUUAGGAUUAAUUUAAUUUUAAAUUGAACAACAGCUAGAUACGAUGGAUAUCACGUCACUUCAAAUGCACCAUUUAUUUGAUUUACUGCAAAGGGUGCCCUAAAUGUGUACUAUGGUUUACGCACUAAAAUUAGACCCUUUUGGUAUCAGGGUCUAAUUGUAGAAUACACACGUUAGUUACUAGCUUGAAUAUAUAUCUAUUUAUUGUAAUUGACGGACUCUCGGUAUACCAAUACAAGCGGAUUCGUAUGGACCUAAUAACGUA